RNAcentral lists this ribosomal RNA (268 nucleotides) under Klebsiella pneumoniae. Its description in RNAcentral is "partial 23S ribosomal RNA". It matches the Rfam family "Bacterial large subunit ribosomal RNA", at positions 1526 to 1782 of the family's 2925-position model. Lineage: Bacteria; Pseudomonadati; Pseudomonadota; Gammaproteobacteria; Enterobacterales; Enterobacteriaceae. The record is from RNAcentral.
GGAGGUUCCAGGUAAAUCCGGUACCUUAUUAACGCUGAGGUGUGAUGACGAGGCACUACGGUGCUGAAGUAACAAAUGCCCUGCUUCCAGGAAAAGCCUCUAAGCAUCAGGUAACAUUAAAUCGUACCCCAAACCGACACAGGUGGUCAGGUAGAGAAUACCAAGGCGCUUGAGAGAACUCGGGUGAAGGAACUAGGCAAAAUGGUGCCGUAACUUCGGGAGAAGGCACGCUGAUAUGUAGGUGAAGCCCCUGCGGGUGGAGCUGAAA